UACGAAGGGGGGCUAGCGUUGCUCGGAAUCACUGGGCGUAAAGCGCACGUAGGCGGAUUGCUAAGUCAGGGGUGAAAUCCUGGAGCUCAACUCCAGAACUGCCUUUGAUACUGGCGACCUUGAGUCCGGGAGAGGUGAGUGGAACUGCGAGUGUAGAGGUGAAAUUCGUAGAUAUUCGCAAGAACACCAGUGGCGAAGGCGGCUCACUGGCCCGGGUACUGACGCUGAGGUGCGAAAGCGUGGGGAGCAAACAGG
This 255-nucleotide ribosomal RNA is filed under the name uncultured bacterium. Its description in RNAcentral is "partial 16S ribosomal RNA". It matches the Rfam family "Bacterial small subunit ribosomal RNA", at positions 524 to 776 of the family's 1533-position model. The record is from RNAcentral.